CAGUAGCCGCGGUAAUACGAAGGGUGCAAGCGUUAAUCGGAAUUACUGGGCGUAAAGCGUGCGUAGGCGGUGAGUUAAGUCUGCUGUGAAAUCCCCGGGCUCAACCUGGGAAUGGCAGUGGAUACUGGCUCGCUAGAGUGUGUCAGAGGAUGGUGGAAUUCCCGGUGUAGCAGUGAAAUGCGUAGAGAUCGGAAGGAACAUCUGUGGCGAAGGCGACUAUCUGGGCCAACACUGACACUGAGGCACGAAAGCGUGGGGAGCAAACAGGAUUAGAUACCCGAGUAGUCCCUGUCUCUUAUAA
RNAcentral lists this ribosomal RNA (301 nucleotides) under uncultured bacterium. RNAcentral describes it as "partial 16S ribosomal RNA". It matches the Rfam family "Bacterial small subunit ribosomal RNA", at positions 509 to 809 of the family's 1533-position model. The record is from RNAcentral.